GAGUUUGAUCCUGGCUCAGAUUGAACGCUGGCGGCAGGCCUAACACAUGCAAGUCGAGCGGCAGCGGGAAGAUAGCUUGCUAUCUUCGCCGACGAGCGGCGGACGGGUGAGUAAUACCUGGGGAUCUGCCCAAUCGAGGGGGAUAACAGUUGGAAACGACUGCUAAUACCGCAUACGCCCUACGGGGGAAAGGAGGGGACCUUCGGGCCUUCCGCGAUUGGAUGAACCCAGGCGGGAUUAGCUAGUAGGUGAGGUAAUGGCUCACCUAGGCGACGAUCCCUAGCUGUUCUGAGAGGAUGGACAGCCACACUGGAACUGAGACACGGUCCAGACUCCUACGGGAGGCAGCAGUGGGGAAUAUUGGACAAUGGGGGAAACCCUGAUCCAGCCAUGCCGCGUGUGUGAAGAAGGCCUUCGGGUUGUAAAGCACUUUCAGUGGGGAGGAAAGGUUGAUGGUUAAUACCUAUCAGCUGUGACGUUACCCACAGAAGAAGCACCGGCUAACUCCGUGCCAGCAGCCGCGGUAAUACGGAGGGUGCAAGCGUUAAUCGGAAUUACUGGGCGUAAAGCGUGCGCAGGCGGUCUGUUAAGCGAGAUGUGAAAGCCCCGGGCUCAACCUGGGAACUGCAUUUCGAACUGGCAGACUAGAGUCUUGUAGAGGGGGGUAGAAUUCCAGGUGUAGCGGUGAAAUGCGUAGAGAUCUGGGAGGAAUACCGGUGGC
This 721-nucleotide ribosomal RNA is filed under the name uncultured bacterium. Its description in RNAcentral is "bacterial SSU rRNA". It matches the Rfam family "Bacterial small subunit ribosomal RNA", at positions 9 to 716 of the family's 1533-position model. The record is from RNAcentral.